Molecule: long non-coding RNA, 3752 nt
Organism: Phragmites australis (common reed)
Lineage: Eukaryota; Viridiplantae; Streptophyta; Magnoliopsida; Poales; Poaceae
Exons: 6
Source: RefSeq, a predicted model, not a curated record
CCUUCGUGAAGCCUCCGUCGCUCGGUCUUUCCUCCCCCUGGCCCCUGCUCGCUAGCGCAGUCCACCCCUCCGCCACCGGCGUUCCUCGCUCUCUCGCCGCCACUCCACGCGUUCUCUGCCGACUGCUAGAUCCGGUGGCUCUCUCUCGAAUCCGGUGGUUGGUGCCCGGCAGACCCACCCACCUCCUCGACGGUACAUUGAGGCAGUCCUUGCGGGCGCCGAGGAGGCGCCCGAGCUCGUGGAGGUCGAGUUCGUGGAGCCCGAGGGGGAGGCCGUCGAGGAAGCUAAGGAUGAGGUGAUUGAGGAGGAAGCAGCAAUCACUGAGGCUAUCGAGGCAUAGCUCGCGGCCGCUGGCACCGGGAAGGACGCUGACAUCUUCGCCUUUGUCAUGAUUGGUUCGAGGCAAUACAUUGUGAUCGCAGGCCGGUAUAUAUACACAGAGGUUGAAAGGUGCCAAUGUCAAUGAUCAGGUUGCAUCUUUCACCGGGGAGAAGCAGGCGGUGGAGAAGUACAAGUCGCUAAAGAGUGUGUACAGCUCCGGCGUGUGGGAGUGCCUUACCACCGGCGUUGGCAUUGGCACAGUCAUGGUGCUCCUAUUCUGUGGCUACUCCCUGGGGAUAUGGUACGGAGCCAAGCUCAUCGUGGAGAAGGGUUACACUGGCGCCGAGUCAUGAAUGUGAUCCUCAUAGUGGUCACUGGCUCACUGUAAAUUUUUCUUCCCACUUUCGGUCCUGCAUUUCUAAUCAAUUCAGUUGCAGUAAUCUCAAUUGUCAAGCAGUAUCAUGACUCAUUCAGUCACAAAAUCUAAGCAGCAAGUAAAAUGUUUCUCUUUCAUGUUCAGUAACCAUACAUGCUUUACCCCAGUCAAAAGCUAUGUCUCCUAUUUGCUAGAUUUUAUUAUAUAGCCUAAUGGUGUUAAUUCUCAAGCCAAUUUGUUGCACAUUUGAUUUUGGAUUGAAAUUAGGAACUAGAGUAUCUUUUCAUACAUAGUUUCCGAAAAUUAGGAAUGAUUCAUUGUAAGGGACAAUAAACGGUUUCACCAUUUUAAGGAUUGUCAAGUGCUCUUGUGGUGUCUAUUGGUGAACAUGAGUCCUGCCAUCUGAAUGUGGUCAGACACUCAAAUUGGCUUCUCAUGCUUUGAAUGCAUAAUCAGUAUAACUUUUCAGCCUUAAAUAUUAUGUGUAACAGAUGCUUAAAGUCCUUAAAAUUGGAAGGAUGCACAAGUCUGUAUGCUACCAUCUAUUCAGCAAUUGAUUUCAAGUGGAGUAAGCCCAAUGUUGUACAGGUUAAUCCACAUACAUUACCAAGGGCAUGUUUGGAUAUGGGCCAUUUGGAUCCAAAUCCUUAGAAUCUGGUUCAAAUUUGAUUAAAAUACAGAAAGAAAAAUACUACACUAACCCUUUUAUUCAAACACCUCCUAAAAGUUUAUCUAAUCUCUAUGUCUAUUUAGACCACCCUAAUUGGCUAAUAUUGCUGCGCAGUUUUAUAAAUUUCUUUUAGACAGUCCCAUGAUUUCAUUUACUCUGACUCACAUGACUGGUAUCUGACUGUAGUGUAAUUGGCUAACCUUUGACUCUAAUAUAAGCAAUUGAGUCAAAUACCCAGCUGGACAGGCCACUAGGAUGCAAAAGAUACCAAAUAUUCUAAUGAUGCGCAACACGUACGUUACUCCUGUCUCUGGAUUUCCUUAAUUCUAAUGAUUGAUUUCCUGUACAUAUCUUAUCCUGAUCUAUACUGUUGUCAAACUACUAAUCUAUGUUGUUGUCAAAUUACCUAGGAUGAAGUCUAUAUGGCAAUAAAGUUCCUCCGCAAUAUAAAUGAGGACUUUGAACUACUUAUGUUUGCUUAAUUAUCUAUGUAUGUAAUAUGAAUGAAAAUUUCAAAGCUACUUAUAUCCACUUAAUUAUCUAUGUCUAUGUAUUGCACAAGCAGAAGCAGAAGCUCUAGACUGCCGCCAUGGACACAUACCAUUACUCAAAUAUUACGCUUCUCCAAUUCUAAAUUCCUUCGCACAGUUCUUAAGUUGAUUUCUAAUCCAAUUAAUCUGAAUGAUGGUCCUACUACCUCGGCGACGGGCCACACGUCGCGCGCGUUAGUUUCUAGUAAUAUCCAUACAAGGCAGCCCACUGACUGCAAUUAAUCAAUGUUUCUAAAGCUUAAUCCUCACGCUUCCAUCUCAUCGCAAAAUCCCAGCCUUUGGAUCGUCAUGCUUCCCACAGAUCAGAUCAUCCAUUGUUGUUCUGGUCACGUCCCGUGCUCCUUACACAUGGUCCCUCACGUGCCCACCUGAGUCAUGGCCAAUUCCCGUCGGGUGUCGUCGCUCCCAGACCCAAUGGAUGGAAGUCGCUGCACGACUCGCCCCACCUACGGAUCGGCGUCGCUCGACAUCCUCCUCGACCGUCUCACCUCCUUCCCAGAUUGCAGCACCAGGCAAGCCGCUCUACACCGCAUUCACUCCCUUUCCUCUUCACCUUCCGAGUCCCCUUGUCUCCUUCUGCAGGUUAAUUACCUCUGCCGACGGCUUUGUCUUCCUACACUGUCCGUCAUCCGCCUCUACCUUCACCAUGCACCAACUUGGCCAAAAAGCUUUGCGGCAAGGGCGCCGUUGGGGUUGCCCCAAAGGUUAGGUCCAGACCGUCCCGAUCUCGCAGCCAGGGGCGAUGCUAAGUUAUGUUGCACAUGCACCACGUGAAGUGGUGCACGGUUCUGGCUCUAGCUUAGCCACUGCUCGCAGCCAAGCCAUGCUACCGGUCUCCAUCCUCAUAGAAGGCAGCAAUUUUAUUUGUUUACUCAACCGCUAAAACCCCAAACUCCUCUACAGCAACUAUACAGCAGCCAUUUGUUCUACAGUUUGGGAUGGAUGAUUACAUUCAUAAUGGAGUUACACAUGUUUCUUUGUGAGAUUGCGCUGAAUAAAAUCAGAUUGAACUGAUCCAGAUAGAAUUUCUCAGGAAACAACUUUGCUUACAGACGGCUAAUUGGCAAUCCAACGUGACAACCAGCCUGACAACAAAUCAAGGCGGUUGUUUUCGGACGAUGUCGUGGCGCCAUGAGUUGGCCACACGGUCCUUGGCUAGCGGUAGCCCUCCAUGGUGAAGCACUGAGACAGACGUACGAUGGUGCCCACCUUCAAGACGACGCAACCACCGAUACAUGGCGAUAGGCUGCGUGCCUCCCUCACAAGGCCACUAGCCCCAUUAAGGCGACGCCCCUUCAUGGCGCCGGCUACAUGGCCUCACUCAGACGACGCAUCCUGCGGCGCUAGCCAGAGUCACAACCUCAUUCCAACAGAUCAGAUCAAACUGGGUUGUAGCCCUAGCAGACGCUCCCCUCAUGACGACAGCCACUCCUCUCCCAACGGUGGCUACUCCCCUCCUAACUGUGGCCGAGCACUCUCCCAACAGUGGCUGCUCCCUUCCUGACAGCCAAAGGCUUAAUCGGCUCCAUUGCCCCUUGCCUGGUGGCACACCGACUAGCAACGCACGACGCAGAAAUUGGUGGUGGCCCUACCCUAUGGUGGCAUUUCCUAGCACGGCCAGAUCUGGCGAGGACUAGAUCUACACGUCGAUCGGGCGCACAACCCUAGAGGCAAGAUGGCCUAGCCCUAGAGGCAAUAGUGGUGGAGAGGGGGCCUUGGUUGGACAAAGGCAACCCUAACCCCCCUUUUAUACUAGCCUGCCUAAAUGGGCUGAAUGGGUCCCAACCCCAUCAUGCGAUUUAUCAGGCCGCUGGCUUCUCAAAAGCCUUUGGAU